UUUCUUGUUUUUAUAUAUUCUCGUGAAAAAUGUAAUACUUUUAAAAUAUUAUAUUUCUUCGUAUCAUUAAUUACUUUUUCUAACGACAAUAAUUACUUGAACAAAUAACUAAAAAUAUAGGUUCUCUUGAGUAAAAAUAGCAAUUAUCGUGAACAAAUAUUUCAAAAUUAUUAUAAUUAUUUAUUAUAAUUGUUAAUUACUUU
This 203-nucleotide long non-coding RNA is filed under the name Salvia miltiorrhiza (redroot sage). RNAcentral describes it as "long non-coding RNA (SMIL_LNC014303)". The record is from RNAcentral. Lineage: Eukaryota; Viridiplantae; Streptophyta; Magnoliopsida; Lamiales; Lamiaceae.